This 86-nucleotide transfer RNA is filed under the name Mycoplasmatota bacterium. Its description in RNAcentral is "Tenericutes bacterium tRNA-Leu". It matches the Rfam family "tRNA". Rfam says of the family: Transfer RNA (tRNA) molecules are approximately 80 nucleotides in length. The record is from RNAcentral. Lineage: Bacteria; Bacillati; Mycoplasmatota.
GCGGCUGUGGCGGAAUGGUAGACGCGCUACCUUGAGGGGGUAGUAUCCAAAUGGAUGUGUGAGUUCAACUCUCAUCAGCCGCACCA